This is a non-coding RNA of Rana temporaria (common frog), 877 nucleotides long. NCBI's taxonomy places the organism in Eukaryota, Metazoa, Chordata, Amphibia, Anura, Ranidae. The record is from the annotation of a RefSeq genome assembly.
GAGCACAGGACGGAGGUGUCAUUCAUUCUCGGGGUUAGCUCGCUGUGCAUUGCACACUUUCCGGCUCAGAAGCUCCAUACAGACACAGCUGACUUCAGUGACAGAUGGCGGAGAUCUCACGUCUGCUCCUCACCCUGGGCUUCCUCGGCUUGUCUCUGGCUGCUGAUGUCAUCCAGACUCCUGAUUUCCAUGUGGCUCGCUCUAUGGAAAAUAUAUCUAUGACCUGUGAACAUGACAACUCAGGAUAUUCCACCAAACUGUGGUAUCGGCAGGUGAAAGGCAAGGAGCUUGUUCUUAUUGGAUACACGGUCAACACUGCAACAGCAACAAUGGAGAAUGGAUUUGAUGAUGGAAGGAUAAGCAUCCGUCCUGAGAAAAUUGAGAAAAGCAUCAUGACCAUCAGUAAACUCUCCUCCCAGGACAGUGCUGUGUAUUACUGUGCCAGCAGUACACAGUGAGGGAGGCUGACAGAGAGGGUGUGUGGAACUAGGACUGGAACAGGUGGAAGACAUACAUUGCUGCAGGAGAUUAGAUAUUGUAUUAAUACUUUUGACAACAAAGCCUGGAGAAUGUCCAGGAAAAAACCAAGCCUACUUACCGACCAGCUCGCAGACAACCAAUUAACCUGUCAAACAGUAUGCAUUAAACCACGGGUUUAUUCUGCAUGCAUUUGCAAACGCAUGCGUGAGCCACAGAGCUGCGCCACAGCACCCUGGAAUAUGUGGUCCUAACGCUAAACUACGAGUGUCCCCACUCAUAGUUUAGCCAGGUUUGAGCCAGUCAAUAAUCCAGCCAAUCAGAAUAUAAUGUAACUGGCCUCGUACACACGACAGAGUUUCUCGGCAGAAUUCAGCGAGAAACUCGGUCAGAGACGGAU